RNAcentral lists this ribosomal RNA (463 nucleotides) under uncultured bacterium. RNAcentral describes it as "bacterial SSU rRNA". It matches the Rfam family "Bacterial small subunit ribosomal RNA", at positions 8 to 507 of the family's 1533-position model. The record is from RNAcentral.
AGAGUUUGAUCAUGGCUCAGAACGAACGCUGGCGGCAUGCCUAACACAUGCAAGUCGAACGGGAUCCGGACUUCGGUCCGGUGAGAGUGGCGGACGGGUGAGUAACACGUGGGAACCUGCCUUUUGGUUCGGGAUAACCGCGGGAAACUGCGGCUAAUACCCGAUGCUCCCGAGAGGGAAAAGAUUUAUCGCCAGAAGAGGGGCCCGCGUCCGAUUAGGUAGUUGGUGGGGUAAUGGCCUACCAAGCCGACGAUCGGUAGCUGGUCUGAGAGGAUGAUCAGCCACACUGGGACUGAGAUACGGCCCAGACUCCUACGGGAGGCAGCAGUGGGGAAUAUUGGACAAUGGGGGCAACCCUGAUCCAGCAAUGCCGCGUGAGUGAUGAAGGCCUUAGGGUUGUAAAGCUCUUUUGCCAGGGAAGAUGAUGACUGUACCUGGAGAAUAAGCCCCGGCUAACUUCGUG